Molecule: transfer RNA, 66 nt
Filed under: Phyllomimus sp. ZJZ-2017
Lineage: Eukaryota; Metazoa; Arthropoda; Insecta; Orthoptera; Tettigoniidae
Description: tRNA-Leu
Rfam family: tRNA
About the family: Transfer RNA (tRNA) molecules are approximately 80 nucleotides in length. Their secondary structure includes four short double-helical elements and three loops (D, anti-codon, and T loops). Further hydrogen bonds mediate the characteristic L-shaped molecular structure. tRNAs have two regions of fundamental functional importance: the anti-codon, which is responsible for specific mRNA codon recognition, and the 3' end, to which the tRNAs corresponding amino acid is attached (by aminoacyl-tRNA synthetases). tRNAs cope with the degeneracy of the genetic code in two manners: having more than one tRNA (with a specific anti-codon) for a particular amino acid; and 'wobble' base-pairing, i.e. permitting non-standard base-pairing at the 3rd anti-codon position.
Source: RNAcentral
UCUAAUAUGGCAGAAUAGUGCAUUAGAUUUAAGCUCUAAAUAUAAAGUGUUAUACUUUUAUUAGAA